This 420-nucleotide ribosomal RNA is filed under the name uncultured archaeon. Its description in RNAcentral is "partial 16S ribosomal RNA". It matches the Rfam family "Archaeal small subunit ribosomal RNA", at positions 323 to 746 of the family's 1478-position model. The record is from RNAcentral.
CUACGGGUCGCUGCAGUUAGGUAUAAUCUACAAUGCACGAAAGUGUGAUAGUUUGAAUCAGAGUGCUUUGCUUUGCAAAGCUUUUGUGAAAUGUAAAAAGUUUCACGAAUAAGGACUGGGUAAGACUAGUGCCAGCCGCCGCGGUAAUACUAGCGGUCCAAGUCGCAGCUAUUUUUAUUGGGUCUAAAACAUCCGUAGCUUGCUUUGUAAGUUCCUUGUGAAAUCCUAUAUCUCAAAUAUAGGGCGGGCAAGGAGUACUGCUAAGCUAGAGACUGGGAGACGUAACGAGUACGUUUGAGGUAGCGGUAAAAUGUGUUAAUCUCAGACGGACUAACAAUAGCGAAGGCACGUUACGAGAACAGUUCUGACAGUAAGGGAUGAAGGCCAGGGGCGCAAAACGGAUUAGAUACCCGUGUAGUC